CAACACAACCUGGCCAUCCAGAGGGGACAGACAGACACAGACUGCACAAACAACACAAUGGAAACAGAGCUGCACUGCCGGUGGUACCGAGACACACUUCCCACGUAUUACACUCCAGACGCUAACAAACUGCCAUCUCUGUGGGGAGAAACACAACGAUGUGCGAUAACAGCACCACCAUUCGACGGGGGGUCGAGGGAGAGGAAGAUGAUGAUGAAGCUGAUGAUGAUGAUGAUGAUGAUGAUGAUGGUGACAGGUCUCUCUAUCGGACAUUCAGCUGACGGAUGCAAACUUAGCUAAGCCGUCCGAGAGGCUGAGAGGGCAGCGGCUUCGACCUUCAAGACCUGGUCUGUUCCUCCAUGAAACCUCCACCCUCCUUUUCUCCCCCUCGCACUGUUCUCUACCCCCUCUAUCUCUCCCCUCUCUCUCUCCUCCCACUCCCCUCCCCUCCCUCUCUCCCACUCGCCCUGUUCUUACCCCCUAUCUCUCUCUCUCUCUCCCUCUCUCUCUCCCUCCCUCUCCCCCCCUUCUCUCUCUACCUUCUCCCCCCGAGUUCAUGAACCGCUCCUCAGCGAACCUGCUCCUCCUGCCACGGCUCAAGUCCUCCUCACGACCCCAGCCUCCGUCUCCUUCUGCGUGCUGAUUGGCUGCUGUCUGUGGAGGAGCACCAGGUAAUCACAGAUGGCCAGGCUCUUGAUGCUAAGCUAUUGUCGCUAAUUAGAAACAACCAGACGAUUGCAGCCCCCUUCCUCCAGGGCCUGUUCCGCGCGCUGUUAUGAGGAGAAUAUGACGCUCUGUGGGACAGAGAUCAGACUCCUCACCUCCACUCCUAAGCCCCUCUUUGUUCACAUCCUUCUACCAUUCAUUAUUCUGGAGGCAAAGAGCACCAGCCUCUGAUCCUACAGCUCUCUCUCUCUCUCUCUCUCUCUCUCUCUCUCUCUCUCUCUCUCUCUCUCUCUCUCUCUCUCUCUCUCUCUCUCUCUCUCUCUCUCUCUCUCUCUCUCUCUCUCUCUCUCUCUCUCUCUCUCUCUCUCUCUCUCUCUCUCUUCAUCCA
RNAcentral lists this long non-coding RNA (1054 nucleotides) under Gadus morhua (Atlantic cod). RNAcentral describes it as "lncRNA (ENSGMOG00000025884.1)". Lineage: Eukaryota; Metazoa; Chordata; Actinopteri; Gadiformes; Gadidae. The record is from RNAcentral.